This 520-nucleotide ribosomal RNA is filed under the name uncultured bacterium. RNAcentral's name for it is "bacterial SSU rRNA". It matches the Rfam family "Bacterial small subunit ribosomal RNA", at positions 17 to 518 of the family's 1533-position model. The record is from RNAcentral.
UCCUGGCUCAGGAUGAACGCUGGCGGCGUGCCUAAUACAUGCAAGUCGAACGGGGGGACGGAAGCUUGCUUCCUGAACCUAGUGGCGAACGGGUGAGUAACACGUAGGUAACCUGCCCUUAAGCUUGGGAUACCCAGAGGAAACUUUGGCUAAUACCGGAUAACAACAGAAGAGGCAUCUCUUCAGUUUGAAAGGCCCUUUACGGGGUCACUUAAGGAUGGACCUGCGGCGCAUUAGCUAGUUGGUGAGAUAACAGCCCACCAAGGCGAGGAUGCGUAGCCGACCUGAGAGGGUGAUCGGCCACAUUGGAACUGAGACACGGUCCAAACUCCUACGGGAGGCAGCAGUAAGGAGUUUUCGGCAAUGGGGGAAACCCUGACCGAGCAACGCCGCGUGAGUGAAUGACGGCCCUAUGGGUUGUAAAGCUCUGUUGUGAGGGACGAAUGGCUAGCUUAGGAAAUGAAGUUAGUUUGACGGUACCUCACCAGAAAGCCACGGCUAACUACGUGCCAGCCGCCGC